This 507-nucleotide ribosomal RNA is filed under the name uncultured bacterium. RNAcentral describes it as "bacterial SSU rRNA". It matches the Rfam family "Bacterial small subunit ribosomal RNA", at positions 774 to 1275 of the family's 1533-position model. The record is from RNAcentral.
AGCGAAUAGAUACCCUGGUAGUCCACGCCCUAAACGAUGGAUACUAGGCGUAGGAGGUAUCGACCCCUCCUGUGCCGCAGCAAACGCAUUCAGUAUCCCGCCUGGGGAGUACGGCCGCAAGGUUGAAACUCAAAUGAAUUGACGGGGACCCGCACAAGCGGUGGAGCAUGUGGAUUAAUUCGAUACUAACCGAAGAACCUUACCCACUCUUGACAUUGAAGGAAAGCUCUAGAGAUAGGGUCCUCUCCCACAAGGAGACCUGAAAAACCAGAUGUUGCAUGGCUGUCGUCAGCUCGUGCCGUGAGGUGUACGGUUAAGUCCGCAACGAGCGCAACCCUCGUUCUGUGUUACCAGCGAGUAAAGUCGGGCACUCACAGGAGACCGCCGGUGUAAGCCGGAGGAAGGUGGGGAUGAUGUCAAGUCAGCAUGGCUCUUACGAGUGGGGCUUCACACAUGCUACAAUGGGCGCAACAAAGGGCCGCGAUACCGUGAGGUGGAGCAAAUCCC